Molecule: non-coding RNA, 21 nt
Filed under: Caenorhabditis elegans
Lineage: Eukaryota; Metazoa; Nematoda; Chromadorea; Rhabditida; Rhabditidae
Source: RNAcentral
UUUCGGUAACAUCAGACAAUU